GUCCCGAGUCACACAACUGUUAGUGUCAAGGCUGAUGACAAACUUUUCUCCUUGAACAUCUCAGGGUGACUUGUCUUGAAUGAUGAGGAAGGUCCAGUUGUACAAGUUCCAUCUGCUGCCCUUACCUGCAACACUCCUUCAAUGGUGAAUGGAACCUCAACUCUCCGGUGACCCCAGCCAUAAACUGGGGAGGCAUUCUGGACUCUUCAGUCCACAUCCAAUUCAUCACUAACCAUGAUAUCCUGCCUCUAAGGACCUCACAGAUCCAUCCUGUUCUCCCCAUCCAUCCUGCAGCUUCUUGAGUUUGAGCAUUACCUGAAUUAUGCAGUAGCCCCUGGUGGGUCUCCCUAGUGCCUCUCCUCAAAUCCCUUUCCCAAAAUGUGGUCAGAGUGAACUU
Molecule: long non-coding RNA, 397 nt
Organism: Bos taurus (domestic cattle)
Lineage: Eukaryota; Metazoa; Chordata; Mammalia; Artiodactyla; Bovidae
Source: Ensembl